Molecule: long non-coding RNA, 2272 nt
Organism: Salvia miltiorrhiza (redroot sage)
Lineage: Eukaryota; Viridiplantae; Streptophyta; Magnoliopsida; Lamiales; Lamiaceae
Exons: 3
Source: RefSeq, a predicted model, not a curated record
UAAAAAAAAUGAAAAUAAUAGUAGUAGUAAUAAAUUUUAAAAAUUCCUAAAACUAUCAUCGCGUCCGGCGUCUCCACCUAAAGAUGAGAAUUCCAGUCUCCACCUAACUCGCCGCUGCACCACCGCCAGCGUCGCACUUGAUUUCAAGAUUAGCGCCUCCACACAAACUAAAUCUAGUCUCAGGUGCAGAUCUGCAUAUGCAGCACGAGCUACAAUGGUAUUAGACAUUAAAUAUUCCGCGAUGCAGAGCUGACUAUGCAAGUCUAAUGUUUCCAUUUAGCCCUACAGAUGAGUGCGAUUGAUGUUGGUCCAAAUCUUGUGUUCCUUCUUAAAGGAAUUGCCUCUGCCUGUGCAUUUGUGCAACUAUAUUUUGUGCUAAUCUGGACCUUAUGUUACUUCAUUUCAUUGUUGCCUUAAUCGUCCUUGAAUCUAAUUGCUCUGCUGUUGAUUUGCAUCUUAUUUGAUGCUAUAAUUUCUUAAAUACGAUCCAUCAUCUACUUUAGCAUUUUUAUUUUGUUUUUUAAACGGAACAGGGUUACUAAUGUUGUCAUCAAUCGAGCUAUUGCACUCAAGCUUUCUAUAAUAGAUAACUGGGCUUCUUGAAGAGACAUGGAGGAAUAUUCUUAGUUACUUUUAUUUUUCCUUUCUGAAUUAUGCUAUCAUUCUACAACUUUCUAUAAUAGAUAAGAAUAGCUAGUUUUUUGCUUCAGCGGAAGGCAUUAUUUUCGGUUUAAACUGCAGAACGUGGCCAUUUGAUGUUUAGGAAAUGAAACUUUUUAUUACCUGUCACAUUCUUAUUUUCCACUUUAUCCAGAGAGCAGAGUGGAUCGUGUCUUGGAAUUUUCUAAACGACAUAUUACAUAUGUUAGUUUUCUGGAUUCCAAGAAUCUGCAUCACCUUUUCUCACAUAAUUAAGUGAGUGAAGAAAAUGAGUUCCUGCACAUGCAGUUAUAGAUAGAUUAAGAUAUAUAUGUUGUCUCAAUCUUCUUCUUCCGUAAACCCCCUUCCUGUUGAUGACUAGUUUAUCUAAUGUAAAGCAUGUCAACUCAUUUGUAUAUCCUCUAUGGCCAUUCAAAACCAAUCAGAGAUUGAUGAACUUGUUGAUGGGACAGUAUUGAUACUGAUCAAGUAAAGGUCAUGGGAGUAACGAACUUUCUCCAUGUGUCAUUUAUUUCUUAUGUUUUAGAUACUUUUGAUGCCUGAUACUUAGAUCAGAAUUUGGUUUUUUUGUACCUGACAAAUUAGAAUGAUCAGUUCUGCCAUAGAUGGAUAUUAUCACAAUAUUUCUAAAUGCUUACCCCCUCAUAUAUAGUUACGUCUAUAAUGAUAAAUUUCUCUCAAUUGUGUCUCCCUAUGGUGUCCACAAGCUUCCUCAAAGAAUGCGGGGAGAUGAUGUUGUACGUGUACACAUAGAUGUAUAUACAUGUGCUCUUAUUACGAUUCCUGAAGCCGUCUAUCUGUGCUCGAGUGAUACAUCUGCUAUAGUUUGGAGUUGAUUUCUAUGCCCUCAAGCAGCUGUAACUUUCAUUCGUUGUUGACUUCAAUUAUUAACUAUAGUUCGUUUCUUGACUGUCACUGUAGUAAAUUUUUCUUGGAUGUUAGUAUAUGUUGCUGCCAAUCAUAAUAAGCCUUGAUGUUUGAUUAAGCAGAGCUCUAUUAGUAUUCUGCAAAGAACAAGAAGCCAAAGGUUGCUGUUGCUUCAGUUUUCGGAAAUGACAGUGACGAAGAGUGGAGAAAUUUCUGACAUUUCCAGCUGAUAUCGUGUUACUUUGAGAGCUCAGGAACAUCCCUCUGAGUAUACUUCAAUGGGUAAAUUGUAAUCGAGCUGGAGGCUGAGCGAUUGUAAAAAGAAGCCAUUAGUUAACAAGGCGUGGAGUGCGGGUUCGUUUUGGUUGUUGAAAUGGGGCUAAGACAGACUCUUCAGUUCAAGGAGGACUAUAAUACUAAAAAGAAAAUUGUAGCAAAGCUGAAAUCAUGCAUGGAAAGAUCAAUCUUUUUAGAGAGUGAAGAUAUAUAAUUAAACUUAAGUGAGCUUUUGCCUUCCCCUUGAUGUCUCCAAAGAUAAUCUAUCAUUGCUUCCUAGACCAUAUUUCUAAUUUUACCAUGAAGUUUUGCACAGAAUAUAUUGUGGAAUGAAGAAAUUUUCCUAUCAUUUAUUUAGUUCAGACUUUAGAUUAAAUUAUCUACAGGGUUGGUUGAUUUACUUUAGGAGGUAUGCUGAUGUAUCAUAUUUUUAUUUGAUUUGAGUAUAAUUAAUGUGGUUGGUCCUUCA